This 447-nucleotide ribosomal RNA is filed under the name Triticum aestivum (bread wheat). RNAcentral describes it as "partial small subunit ribosomal RNA". The record is from RNAcentral. Lineage: Eukaryota; Viridiplantae; Streptophyta; Magnoliopsida; Poales; Poaceae.
AUGAUGAGUUGUAGUGACGGGCAUAAAACCAUUACAACACGCCCACAAGAUAGGACACUCCAACCUAUCAGGCUACCCACAAGCGCGCGCGCGCACACACAGCUUGUCAUACAAUGGACAUUGUUGAGAUUGCCUACAAUAUCAUCGUCAUCACCUCUCCCCGAGCAACCGACUCCGACUUCACCGUGGACGAGCUACCAAGAGCACACACAACUAGCAACAUGCAAGAACCCUCGUGGGCUAUGCCAAACAAUCAGCCGAACACUUCGAGGACCAAACAGCUCCGACUUCGGUCAGUCUCCUAGGAGAGAGAAGCACACCUUACAGCAACAUAGCCUGACUUGCCCAUCACAAAGCAUCGUUGCCGCCGCAUCGCCUCGUGACACUACUGCUCCAACUUCGUACUCAGAGGCAUGCCGAACGGUCGACCACGAGGACAUGCCAUGA